CGAACGGGUGAGUAAUACAUCGGAACGUGUCCGCUCGUGGGGGACAACCAGCCGAAAGGUUGGCUAAUACCGCAUGAGUUCUACGGAAGAAAGAGGGGGACCCGCAAGGGCCUCUCGCGAGCGGAGCGGCCGAUGACUGAUUAGCCUGUUGGUGAGGUAACGGCUCACCAAAGCAACGAUCAGUAGCUGGUCUGAGAGGACGACCAGCCACACUGGGACUGAGACACGGCCCAGACUCCUACGGAAGGCAGCAG
This 254-nucleotide ribosomal RNA is filed under the name uncultured bacterium. Its description in RNAcentral is "partial 16S ribosomal RNA". It matches the Rfam family "Bacterial small subunit ribosomal RNA", at positions 99 to 354 of the family's 1533-position model. The record is from RNAcentral.